AAUCCUGGCUCAGGAUGAACGCUAGCUACAGGCUUAACACAUGCAAGUCGAGGAGCAGCAUGGUCUUAGCUUGCUAAGGCUGAUGGCGACCGGCGCACGGGUGAGUAACACGUAUCCAACCUGCCGUCUACUCUUGGCCAGCCUUCUGAAAGGAAGAUUAAUCAAGGAUGGGAUCAUGAGUUCACAUGUCCGCAUGAUUAAAGGUAUUUUCCGGUAGACGAUGGGG
This 226-nucleotide ribosomal RNA is filed under the name uncultured bacterium. RNAcentral's name for it is "partial 16S ribosomal RNA". It matches the Rfam family "Bacterial small subunit ribosomal RNA", at positions 15 to 230 of the family's 1533-position model. The record is from RNAcentral.